Molecule: transfer RNA, 80 nt
Filed under: Staphylococcus hominis
Lineage: Bacteria; Bacillati; Bacillota; Bacilli; Caryophanales; Staphylococcaceae
Also listed under: 2 other names
Description: tRNA-Pro
Source: RNAcentral
CGAGGUAGACGACACACUCCGGCAGUUCCACUUCGUUCGGGACGAAGAGGUCGCAGGUUCAAAUCCUGUUAUCCCGACCA